CCUACGGGGGGCAGCAGUGGGGAAUAUUGGACAAUGGGGGCAACCCUGAUCCAGCCAUGCCGCGUGUGUGAAGAAGGCCCUCGGGUUGUAAAGCACUUUCAGUGAGGAAGAACGCCUGGUGGUUAAUACCCAUCAGGAAAGAUAUCACUCACAGAAGAAGCACCGGCUAACUCCGUACCAGCAGCCGCGGUAAUACGGAGGGUGCGAGCGUUAAUCGGAAUUACUGGGCGUAAAGCGCGCGUAGGUGGCUUGAUAAGCCGGUUGUGAAAGCCCCGGGCUCAACCUGGGAACGGCAUCCGGAACUGGCAAGCUAGAGUGCAGGAGAGGAAGGUAGAAUUCCCGGUGUAGCGGUGAAAUGCGUAGAGAUCGGGAGGAAUACCAGUGGCGAAGGCGGCCUUCUGGACUGACACUGACACUGAGGUGCGAAAGCGUGGGUAGCAAACAGGAUUAGAUACCCGAGUAGUC
RNAcentral lists this ribosomal RNA (465 nucleotides) under Vreelandella stevensii. RNAcentral describes it as "partial 16S ribosomal RNA". It matches the Rfam family "Bacterial small subunit ribosomal RNA", at positions 338 to 795 of the family's 1533-position model. The record is from RNAcentral. Lineage: Bacteria; Pseudomonadati; Pseudomonadota; Gammaproteobacteria; Oceanospirillales; Halomonadaceae.